RNAcentral lists this ribosomal RNA (301 nucleotides) under uncultured bacterium. RNAcentral describes it as "partial 16S ribosomal RNA". It matches the Rfam family "Bacterial small subunit ribosomal RNA", at positions 509 to 807 of the family's 1533-position model. The record is from RNAcentral.
CAGUCGCCGCGGUAAAACGAAGGGUGCAAGCGUUACUCGGAAUUACUGGGCGUAAAGCGUGCGUAGGUGGUGGUUUAAGUCCGUUGUGAAAGCCCUGGGCUCAACCUGGGAAUUGCAGUGGAUACUGGGUCACUAGAGUGUGGUAGAGGAUAGUGGAAUUUCCGGUGUAGCAGUGAAAUGCGUAGAGAUCGGAAGGAACAUCUGUGGCGAAGGCGACUAUCUGGGCCAACACUGACACUGAGGCACGAAAGCGUGGGGAGCAAACAGGAUUAGAUACCCGCGUAGUCCCUGUCUCUUAUAC